RNAcentral lists this long non-coding RNA (371 nucleotides) under Androctonus crassicauda. The record is from RNAcentral. Lineage: Eukaryota; Metazoa; Arthropoda; Arachnida; Scorpiones; Buthidae.
CAGAUUUAUAUUUGUCCUCUGGCCUAUCUUUACUGUUUCGAGGGUGCGCAGGGGUGGAGGGGUUUCGUCUUAUGGUGAGUUUUUUAUUCGCUAGGUGAAGUGCUUUUUUAAUGGCUGGAUAUUUCACUGGAUGGUGGGGUGUUGCAGCAUAAUUGUCAUUGGCGCUGGUGGGUGGUUGCUGUGGGUUGGGGGCCUCUUCAUUUUGCUGCGCUCUUGCUUCAUUGAUGGCAGUUUCUGCGUUUUUCUUGAUGGAGAGUGGCAGGCCUUUGUGGUGGCCAUGCUUUGUUCCGUGCUCGGGGAUGUGUUGCACCUCACGGUUAUAGUCGAUAGGAUAUGUGCAGUAUAGAUGCGCUCUGCUGAAGUAUGAACGG